RNAcentral lists this ribosomal RNA (293 nucleotides) under uncultured bacterium. Its description in RNAcentral is "partial 16S ribosomal RNA". It matches the Rfam family "Bacterial small subunit ribosomal RNA", at positions 775 to 1067 of the family's 1533-position model. The record is from RNAcentral.
GGAUUAGAUACCCUGGUAGUCCACGCCGUAAACGAUGUCAACUAGCCGUUGGGGAACUUGAUUCUUUAGUGGCGCAGCUAACGCAAUAAGUUGACCGCCUGGGGAGUACGGCCGCAAGGUUAAAACUCAAAUGAAUUGACGGGGGCCCGCACAAGCGGUGGAGCAUGUGGUUUAAUUCGAUGCAACGCGAAGAACCUUACCAGGGCUUGACAUCCAGCGAACUUUCUAGAGAUAGAUUGGUGCCUUCGGGAACGCUGUGACAGGUGCUGCAUGGCUGUCGUCAGCUCGUGCCG